GCUAUGAUAUAUGCAAAUAAUUACGUUAUGCUAUGAGAAAACAAAUUCAUGGAAUAGAUUUGACUCUUUUGAAAAAAAUUUGUAUAUAUGUAUGCUUAUGCACCAUUUAUGUUUUUACCUUUCGGGAAGGUAUUCGGCUCCGGUGCACCUCGACCUAAGAGUGUGUGGAUUUGGUCAUUUAUGACAUAUGAUACCCAACUAAGGCCGAGCGGUCAUAGAACAUAAUGUAUGUUGCAAGAAUUAUGUUGACUACAAUAUGAUCAAAUAUCAAGUAUUAGCAUGAACUUUGAAUAUGAUACUUCGAAAAGCAAGUGCUUU
RNAcentral lists this long non-coding RNA (318 nucleotides) under Actinidia chinensis (golden kiwifruit). Its description in RNAcentral is "long non-coding RNA (ACHI_LNC002205)". The record is from RNAcentral. Lineage: Eukaryota; Viridiplantae; Streptophyta; Magnoliopsida; Ericales; Actinidiaceae.